UGGUGUAUCUACUUAAGACUUCUGCUUGUAAAAGAAAAUAUAUGUUUUUUAAUUGUAGGCACCCAUUAAUCGUGUUUUACCAUCUAAUUGCCUGUCUGUUGAUACCCAUAAUUUUAAAUAUAUUGUGCAUCCCUAUAAUGAAGGAAGAGAAGCAGAAGCUGUAAGUCCCUCACAAAAAAUAAAGGAAAUCCUAGAAAAAUACCA
This 204-nucleotide long non-coding RNA is filed under the name Apteryx owenii (little spotted kiwi). Its description in RNAcentral is "lncRNA (ENSAOWG00000008367.1)". Lineage: Eukaryota; Metazoa; Chordata; Aves; Apterygiformes; Apterygidae. The record is from RNAcentral.